UAUAGAAGAACAAAAAUGAAUUCAAGCAGGAAUUAAUCUGGUGUCAAGGUGUGUGUAAUUACAGUGGAAGCUCUUCUGCGGGCGACGCAGACACACACACAUGCACACGAUGCAGACGGAGAGCGGUGCUUCCAGCUGGAGCCCCACUGCUGUCUGUGUGAUGAGGAAAAAACGGCUGGUGGUUGCGAUAUUGUCUCUUCCUCGCCAUGUUAGCGACAGCAUGUGACAGGGUCAAGUCAAAUGUGACCUGUCGCUCUCUCAGCUAACAAGCCACACUCAC
Dicentrarchus labrax (European seabass) is the source of this 280-nucleotide long non-coding RNA. RefSeq lists it as uncharacterized. Lineage: Eukaryota; Metazoa; Chordata; Actinopteri; Moronidae. The transcript has 3 exons. The record is from RefSeq and is a predicted model, not a curated record.